Molecule: small nuclear RNA, 62 nt
Organism: Carlito syrichta (Philippine tarsier)
Lineage: Eukaryota; Metazoa; Chordata; Mammalia; Primates; Tarsiidae
Gene: U7
Rfam family: U7 small nuclear RNA
About the family: Animal histone pre-mRNAs are spliced by a different mechanism than nuclear pre-mRNAs and self-splicing introns. This processing involves the U7 snRNP, which contains only one RNA species: U7.
Source: Ensembl
UAGUGUUAUAACUCUUUUAGAAUUUGUCUAGCAGGUUUUCUGGUUUUCACUGGAAACCCUCC